GGACAUGACCCACGUAGAGGGCCUGACAGACGGCCGCACCACCUGCCUGCACCCCCGACCUUGGGAGCCUGAUCUUGGAAAUGGUGAUAAAAAGAAGGUUUACUGCAUCACCCUUCGUUCCGCUGACAACAUUCACAGUAACUCAACAGCACGCCGCCUCUGUGGGCAAGAAAAGGCUCACACUGGUGGCAGGUUGGCGAUUUACGGGGCAGCUUGAAGAAUCCAAAAGGUGCGCUGGGCUGACACCAACCCUCUCACUGCCCUGCAUCUUCCAGGAGGAGAUGGAAGCGAAACAGAGAUCACCUGGGACAGAGUCACAAGGUCAAAUCAAGGACAUCAUAGGACCCCGGAGGGCCAUCGAGGACUCCAGAUGAAAAGACCCCUCUCGGAGCCACCUGAGGAAGCCCCUCCCAGCCUCCACUCUCCACCGGGAGCAAGUCUGUCCCAGAAAGAGACACCCUGAAAUUUGCUGAGCUGAUGGCUCAAAGACUACAUUUCCCAGCCUCCCUUGCAGCUAGUGGUGCCUCUGCAACUGCCUCCCAGCCAACAAUGAAAACAGAAGCGUCACAGCCAGCUUGUGGAAACUGUCCUUAACGGACACCUGGCCCACCUUUGUCCCUUCCUUUAUCCCGCUGUCUGGAAACCGGGGUAGCAGCUGGACUCCAGCUGCCAUGUUGAUCCACGAUGGCAGGACCUCACCCCAGGGAUGGUGGAGGGGGGUCAGCUGGAAGGACCUGGGUCCAAGGCCUUCCUGAAGCAAAGCCUCCACGCCAGCCCUGGUCGCCCACCCUCCAGACUUUAGCGUGAAGCACAAUAAAUAAAAUGCCAUGUUGUUUGAGCCGCUGCCACCCUGGAUCUCUGUUAUGCCUGAACAAACCUGAAUCCUGACCCCCUUUUCUCACUGAACCACUCUGCCGUAAAACAGCAGGUGCAACAGAGGUGAAUUUGAAAGCCAGCUCUCCUGCCCUCCAGCCAUGUCACCUCGGUCGGUCGAGCCCUCUCACCUCUGUUUUUCCACCAAUAAGAUGGGAACGGUGUCCCUGACCUCCCAGGACUAUUCUAAGUGGUAACACACAGCCAGGGCCACACCUGUCAGGUUACCUGGCCCACACGGUCCAGAAAAUGUCCUCUAUCCGGCCUGAGCAAUCAGGAUACUUCACAGUCAAAAUAAACAGACGCACACAAAGAAAGGCUUUUUGGUUUCUCUUAAAAGCUGUGGCAGAUCUGGCAGCCCUGGCUGGGGCCGAGUUCCCCCAGCACCCCCUCCCCCCUCCCACUCCCUUCACUUAUCCCCGGGGUCCACAGGCUUCCAAAUAAGUAUUUUAGUUUUUGCAAGACACACGAGCAUCGGUUAAAUAUUCUU
Long non-coding RNA from Leopardus geoffroyi (Geoffroy's cat), 1363 nucleotides. RefSeq lists it as uncharacterized. The record is from RefSeq and is a predicted model, not a curated record. The transcript is spliced from 5 exons. NCBI's taxonomy places the organism in Eukaryota, Metazoa, Chordata, Mammalia, Carnivora, Felidae.